UGCUACCAUUUAGUUGGGCACUCUGACAGGACUGACUGGGAAACCAGUAGGAAGGUGGGGAUGACGUCAAGUCAUCAUGGCCCUUAUGUCUAGGGCGACACACGUGUUACAAUGGCCAGUACAGAGGGAUGCAAACCUGCGAAGGUAAGCGAACCCCAGAAAGCUGGUCUAAGUUCGGAUUGGAGUCUGCAAUUCGACUCCAUGAAGUUGAAAUCGCUAGUAAUCGCGUAUCAGAACGACGCGGUGAAUACGUUCUCGGACCUUGUACACACCGCCCGUCACACCACGAAAAUUGUUCAUACCCGAAAUCGUCUUAGCUAACCUCUCACGAGGAGGCGGGCGCUGAAGGUAUGGGGAGUGAUUGGGGUG
This 369-nucleotide ribosomal RNA is filed under the name uncultured bacterium. RNAcentral's name for it is "bacterial SSU rRNA". It matches the Rfam family "Bacterial small subunit ribosomal RNA", at positions 1116 to 1482 of the family's 1533-position model. The record is from RNAcentral.